CAGGAACUGGUGUAUAUACAUACAUAUAUAUGUAUGUGGUGUGUGUGUAUGUGUCUGUGUGUGUAUAUAUACACACACACAUAUAUAUCUCAUGUAU
Molecule: microRNA precursor, 97 nt
Filed under: Chlorocebus sabaeus (green monkey)
Lineage: Eukaryota; Metazoa; Chordata; Mammalia; Primates; Cercopithecidae
Description: miRNA (ENSCSAG00000023533.1)
Source: RNAcentral